UAGUCCAAAUCAGAUUUGGGGACCUCUGG
Molecule: non-coding RNA, 29 nt
Filed under: Mus musculus (house mouse)
Lineage: Eukaryota; Metazoa; Chordata; Mammalia; Rodentia; Muridae
Source: RNAcentral